AUGGCACAAUUACCUGGACUAGUGGACCAAUUGGCAAAUCGCUUGCCUACGUGGAAGGCAGCGGCCCUGCUGAAGAGUGGAAGGCUAAUCUUGGUUCUAUCGGUGCUAUGCUCGAUCCCGCUACAUGCGAUGUUGGCGCUGGACCUCCCCAUGAAGACUAUAGCUGACAUGAAUAAGAUAGUUAGAGGAUUCCUCUGGUGCGGUAAGGCUCAAGCAAAUGGGAGGAAUUGUUCCGUGGCUUGGGCCGAAGUCUGCAUGCCACGAUGGGCAGGAGGCAUAGGGAUUCCAUGUCUCAAGUGGUUGAACAUAGCAAUGCAGGCUCGCUGGUCUUGGUUACAACGUGUGGACCAGGAUAGACCAUGGAUGGAUUUCAAGUUUGCCCUCCUCAAGGAAUCCUUGGCAUUGUUUGCGGCAGCCACGUCGGCGACAGUAGGGAAUGGGAAGGAGACCCUAUUCUAG
Molecule: ribosomal RNA, 459 nt
Filed under: Triticum aestivum (bread wheat)
Lineage: Eukaryota; Viridiplantae; Streptophyta; Magnoliopsida; Poales; Poaceae
Description: partial small subunit ribosomal RNA
Source: RNAcentral